Molecule: long non-coding RNA, 650 nt
Filed under: Musa acuminata (dwarf banana)
Lineage: Eukaryota; Viridiplantae; Streptophyta; Magnoliopsida; Zingiberales; Musaceae
Description: long non-coding RNA (MACU_LNC005159)
Source: RNAcentral
CAUUUGCGAUGCUCGUAUACUUCCUAUCUUAGCUUGCUACUAUCAUCUGUUUUCUGAAGCAACUUUGAUGUCUACAAAUUAUUUCUUUUCUUGCCUAUAUAAGCUGGGUCAGGGAAGUUGAUAGCAUGCUGAUAAGUAGGCAAUCGAAGAUCCAACGGGAAUUGGGUUUUUUUUCUGGAAAAGAAUUGAUUUGGAUUAGGUAAAGAUCUUGAUCGAGGAUUUUGGAUCAUCAUUUGUGUUGGUCAACGACAUGUGAGUACUGAUACCAAAUCAUCAACUCAGGAAAAUUUUAAGCAAGAAAAGUAUUGCUAUUGAUAUGAUUGCGAUUAUGUGGAUUCGAUGGGACCUAAGUGAAUUCUUUUGGAUUUCCUUUUCAAUCGCUUGUAAGUUUUGUGGAUUCAACCUACUUGGAUAGGAUAGUAGAUUGUUCCUUCAAUAAUUUAGAGGGCUUUUUCCAAUGGAAGGAUGCUUAAUGGAUCAUUCUCUUUAGGGAAUGAUCAACGCAUUUGUGAAUGCACACAGAAGGAAAGAACAAGAAGCAAUAACAGAGGGAGAAGAAUGGAAAUAUAAACUGUACUUUGGCACUCCUCUCCCCUUAAUCAUUGACAUGGGUUAAAUUAGUCCUAUUUCGGAUUCUCUUUGAUCUCGCU